RNAcentral lists this transfer RNA (67 nucleotides) under Nestor notabilis (Kea). Its description in RNAcentral is "tRNA-Cys". Lineage: Eukaryota; Metazoa; Chordata; Aves; Psittaciformes; Psittacidae. The record is from RNAcentral.
GACUCUGUAGUGAAGUUCAUGUUGAGUUGCAAGCUCAUUGAUAUGUGUUAAAGACACAUCAGGGUCU